GACGAACGCUGGCGGCGUGCCUAAUACAUGCAAGUCGAGCGGACUUGAUGAAGUGCUUGCACUUCUGAUGGUUAGCGGCGGACGGGUGAGUAACACGUAGGUAACCUGCCUAUAAGACUGGGAUAACAUUCGGAAACGAAUGCUAAUACCGGAUACGCGAAUUGGUCGCAUGGCCGAGUCGGGAAAGACGGAGCAAUCUGUCACUUAUAGAUGGACCUGCGGCGCAUUAGCUAGUUGGUGAGGUAACGGCUCACCAAGGCGACGAUGCGUAGCCGACCUGAGAGGGUGAUCGGCCACACUGGGACUGAGACACGGCCCAGACUCCUACGGGAGGCAGCAGUAGGGAAUCUUCCGCAAUGGACGAAAGUCUGACGGAGCAACGCCGCGUGAGUGAUGAAGGUUUUCGGAUCGUAAAGCUCUGUUGCCAGGGAAGAACGCUUGGGAGAGUAACUGCUCUCAAGGUGACGGUACCUGAGAAGAAAGCCCCGGCUAACUACGUGCCAGCAGCCGCAGUAA
Molecule: ribosomal RNA, 516 nt
Filed under: uncultured bacterium
Lineage: Bacteria
Description: partial 16S ribosomal RNA
Rfam family: Bacterial small subunit ribosomal RNA
Source: RNAcentral